RNAcentral lists this ribosomal RNA (274 nucleotides) under uncultured bacterium. RNAcentral describes it as "partial 16S ribosomal RNA". It matches the Rfam family "Bacterial small subunit ribosomal RNA", at positions 523 to 796 of the family's 1533-position model. The record is from RNAcentral.
AUACGGAGGGAGCGAGCGUUAAUCGGAAUUACUGGGCGUAAAGCGCGCGUAGGCGGCUUUGUAAGUCGGAUGUGAAAGCCCUGGGCUUAACCUGGGAAUGGCAUUCGAUACUGCAGAGCUAGAGUAUAGUAGAGGCAAGUGGAAUUCCGGGUGUAGCGGUGAAAUGCGUAGAUAUCCGGAGGAACAUCAGUGGCGAAGGCGACUUGCUGGACUAAUACUGACGCUGAGGAGCGAAAGCGUGGGGAGCAAACGGGAUUAGAAACCCCAGUAGUCC